CCUACGGGGUGCAGCAGUCGAGAAUCAUUCACAAUGGGGGAAACCCUGAUGGUGCGACGCCGCGUGGGGGCAUGAAGGUCUUCGGAUUGUAAACCCCUGUCAUGUGGGAGCAAAUUAAAAAGAUAGUACCACAAGAGGAAGAGACGGCUAACUCUGUGCCAGCAGCCGCGGUAAUACAGAGGUCUCAAGAGUUGUUCGGAAUCACUGGGCGUAAAGCGUGCGUAGGCUGUUUCGUAAGUCGUGUGUGAAAGUCGAGGGCUCAACCCGCGGACGGCACAUGAUACUGCGAGACUAGAGUAAUGGAGGGGGAAGCGGAAUUCUCGGUGUAGCAGUGAAAUGCGUAGAUAUCGAGAGGAACACUCGUGGCGAAGGCGGGUUCCUGGACAUUAACUGACGCUGAGGCACGAAGGCCAGGGGAGCGAAAGGGAUUAGAUACCCCUGUAGUC
Molecule: ribosomal RNA, 446 nt
Filed under: uncultured bacterium
Lineage: Bacteria
Description: partial 16S ribosomal RNA
Rfam family: Bacterial small subunit ribosomal RNA
Source: RNAcentral